This 1502-nucleotide ribosomal RNA is filed under the name Klebsiella aerogenes. Its description in RNAcentral is "bacterial SSU rRNA". It matches the Rfam family "Bacterial small subunit ribosomal RNA". The record is from RNAcentral. Lineage: Bacteria; Pseudomonadati; Pseudomonadota; Gammaproteobacteria; Enterobacterales; Enterobacteriaceae.
AGAGUUUGAUCCUGGCUCAGAUUGAACGCUGGCGGCAGGCCUAACACAUGCAAGUCGAGCGGUAACACAGAGAGCUUGCUCUCGGGUGACGAGCGGCGGACGGGUGAGUAAUGUCUGGGAAACUGCCUGAUGGAGGGGGAUAACUACUGGAAACGGUAGCUAAUACCGCAUAACGUCGCAAGACCAAAGUGGGGGACCUUCGGGCCUCAUGCCAUCAGAUGUGCCCAGAUGGGAUUAGCUAGUAGGUGGGGUAAUGGCUCACCUAGGCGACGAUCCCUAGCUGGUCUGAGAGGAUGACCAGCCACACUGGAACUGAGACACGGUCCAGACUCCUACGGGAGGCAGCAGUGGGGAAUAUUGCACAAUGGGCGCAAGCCUGAUGCAGCCAUGCCGCGUGUAUGAAGAAGGCCUUCGGGUUGUAAAGUACUUUCAGCGAGGAGGAAGGCGUUAAGGUUAAUAACCUUGGCGAUUGACGUUACUCGCAGAAGAAGCACCGGCUAACUCCGUGCCAGCAGCCGCGGUAAUACGGAGGGUGCAAGCGUUAAUCGGAAUUACUGGGCGUAAAGCGCACGCAGGCGGUCUGUCAAGUCGGAUGUGAAAUCCCCGGGCUCAACCUGGGAACUGCAUUCGAAACUGGCAGGCUAGAGUCUUGUAGAGGGGGGUAGAAUUUCCAGGUGUAGCGGUGAAAUGCGUAGAGAUCUGGAGGAAUACCGGUGGCGAAGGCGGCCCCCUGGACAAAGACUGACGCUCAGGUGCGAAAGCGUGGGGAGCAAACAGGAUUAGAUACCCUGGUAGUCCACGCCGUAAACGAUGUCGACUUGGAGGUUGUGCCCUUGAGGCGUGGCUUCCGGAGCUAACGCGUCAAGUCGACCGCCUGGGGAGUACGGCCGCAAGGUUAAAACUCAAAUGAAUUGACGGGGGCCCGCACAAGCGGUGGAGCAUGUGGUUUAAUUCGAUGCAACGCGAAGAACCUUACCUACUCUUGACAUCCAGAGAACUUAGCAGAGAUGCUUUGGUGCCUUCGGGAACUCUGAGACAGGUGCUGCAUGGCUGUCGUCAGCUCGUGUUGUGAAAUGUUGGGUUAAGUCCCGCAACGAGCGCAACCCUUAUCCUUUGUUGCCAGCGGUCCGGCCGGGAACUCAAAGGAGACUGCCAGUGAUAAACUGGAGGAAGGUGGGGAUGACGUCAAGUCAUCAUGGCCCUUACGAGUAGGGCUACACACGUGCUACAAUGGCAUAUACAAAGAGAAGCGACCUCGCGAGAGCAAGCGGACCUCAUAAAGUAUGUCGUAGUCCGGAUUGGAGUCUGCAACUCGACUCCAUGAAGUCGGAAUCGCUAGUAAUCGUAGAUCAGAAUGCUACGGUGGAUACGUUCCCGGGCCUUGUACACACCGCCCGUCACACCAUGGGAGUGGGUUGCAAAAGAAGUAGGUAGCUUAACCUUCGGGAGGGCGCUUACCACUUUGUGAUUCAUGACUGGGGUGAAGUCGUAACAAGGUAACC